CCUACGGGAGGCAGCAGUAGGGAAUCUUCCACAAUGGGCGAAAGCCUGAUGGAGCAACGCCGCGUGGGUGAAGAAGGUCUUCGGAUCGUAAAACCCUGUUGUUAGAGAAGAAAGUGCGUGAGAGUAACUGUUCACGUUUCGACGGUAUCUAACCAGAAAGCCACGGCUAACUACGUGCCAGCAGCCGCGGUAAUACGUAGGUGGCAAGCGUUAUCCGGAUUUAUUGGGCGUAAAGGGAACGCAGGCGGUCUUUUAAGUCUGAUGUGAAAGCCUUCGGCUUAACCGGAGUAGUGCAUUGGAAACUGGGAGACGUGAGUGCAGAAGAGGAGAGUGGAACUCCAUGUGUAGCGGUGAAAUGCGUAGAUAUAUGGAAGAACACCAGUGGCGAAAGCGGCUCUCUGGUCUGUAACUGACGCUGAUGCUCGAAAGCGCGGGUAUCGAACAGGAUUAGAUACCCGAGUAGUC
Molecule: ribosomal RNA, 465 nt
Filed under: uncultured bacterium
Lineage: Bacteria
Description: partial 16S ribosomal RNA
Rfam family: Bacterial small subunit ribosomal RNA
Source: RNAcentral